GUGGGGAAUAUUGGACAAUGGGCGAAAGCCUGAUCCAGCCAUGCCGCGUGUGUGAAGAAGGUCUUCGGAUUGUAAAGCACUUUAAGUUGGGAGGAAGGGCAGUAAGUUAAUACCUUGCUGUUUUGACGUUACCGACAGAAUAAGCACCGGCUAACUUCGUGCCAGCAGCCGCGGUAAUACGAAGGGUGCAAGCGUUAAUCGGAAUUACUGGGCGUAAAGCGCGCGUAGGUGGGUUUGUAAGUUGGAGGUGAAAUCCCCGGGCUCAACCUGGGAACUGCCUCCAAAACUGCAUGACUAGAGUACGGUAGAGGGUAGUGGAAUUUCCUGUGUAGCGGUGAAAUGCGUAGAUAUAGGAAGGAACACCAGUGGCGAAGGCGACUACCUGGACUGAUACUGACACUGAGGUGCGAAAGCGUGGGGAGCAAACAGGAUUAGAAACCCUAGUAGUCC
This 450-nucleotide ribosomal RNA is filed under the name uncultured bacterium. RNAcentral describes it as "bacterial SSU rRNA". It matches the Rfam family "Bacterial small subunit ribosomal RNA", at positions 354 to 796 of the family's 1533-position model. The record is from RNAcentral.